AACAAAACGCUGGCGGCAGGCUUCAUACAUGCAAGUCGAGCGGAAAGGCCCUUCGGGGUACUCGAGCGGCGAACGGGUGAGUAACAGGUGGACAAUCUGCCCUCUGGCGGGGACAACAGCUGGAAACGGCUGCUAAUACCGCAUGUGGUUGCAUGCCCCAGGGUGUGCAAAGAAAGGCGCGUUUGCGUCACCAGAGGAUGAGUCCGCCCCCCAUUAGCUAGUUGGUGUGAUAACAGCGCACCAAGGCUUCGAUGGGUAGCCGAGCUGAGAGGUUGAUCGGCCACACUGGGACUGAGACACGGCCCAGACACCUACGGGUGGCAGCAGUAGGGAAUAUUGGACAAUGGGCGAAAGCCUGAUCCAGCCAUGCCGCGUGAGUGACGAAGGUCUUCGGAUUGUAAAAC
RNAcentral lists this ribosomal RNA (404 nucleotides) under uncultured bacterium. Its description in RNAcentral is "bacterial SSU rRNA". It matches the Rfam family "Bacterial small subunit ribosomal RNA", at positions 32 to 431 of the family's 1533-position model. The record is from RNAcentral.